GAUGAACGCUGGCGGCGUGCCUAAUACAUGCAAGUCGAGCGAACAGACGAGGAGCUUGCUCCUCUGACGUUAGCGGCGGACGGGUGAGUAACACGUGGAUAACCUACCUAUAAGACUGGGAUAACUUCGGGAAACCGGAGCUAAUACCGGAUAAUAUAUUGAACCGCAUGGUUCAAUAGUGAAAGACGGUUUUGCUGUCGCUUAUAGAUGGAUCCGCGCCGCAUUAGCUAGUUGGUAAGGUAACGGCUUACCAAGGCAACGAUGCGUAGCCGACCUGAGAGGGUGAUCGGCCACGCUGGAACUGAGACACGGUCCAGACUCCUACGGGAGGCAGCAGUAGGGAAUCUUCCGCAAUGGGCGAAAGCUUGACGGAGCAACGCCGCGUGAGUGAUGAAGGUCUUCGGAUCGUAAAACUCUGUUAUUAGGGAAGAACAAAUGUGUAAGUAACUAUGCACGUCUUGACGGUACCUAAUCAGAAAGCCACGGCUAACUACGUG
This 497-nucleotide ribosomal RNA is filed under the name uncultured bacterium. RNAcentral describes it as "partial 16S ribosomal RNA". It matches the Rfam family "Bacterial small subunit ribosomal RNA", at positions 28 to 507 of the family's 1533-position model. The record is from RNAcentral.